Molecule: long non-coding RNA, 2061 nt
Organism: Equus caballus (horse)
Lineage: Eukaryota; Metazoa; Chordata; Mammalia; Perissodactyla; Equidae
Source: Ensembl
GUGAACGUUGAUUCUCUACUCUUUGUUUUAGGAGGAAAGGUGUCAGAUUUGGGGAAAAUGCUAAAAACUUCAAAGUGCUAGCUCCUAGAAUGAUGUAUCCUUUGUUGGAAAGUAACUCAGGGGGACUCCCUGGUCACUUCACCGUUUUCCUCACUGAGCGUCAACUUUGAAACGUGCUCGCUCUGGCAGAGGCUGGGCCAGCAGAAGCCCACAGGCCGCGCUCCGUCCACUCACACGGCUGCUGCUCCUCGCUGGGCACUCAUUAGGAGACGGAAAACGAUGAUCACCGAGACUUCAAACGCAGCUGCUCACUGUGAUGAGGAAACUGAGGCCCAGAGAAACAUGCAACUUGCCCAAGGUGACAUAUCUAGUGAGGAGUGCAGCCAAGACGAGUUGAGGGUCUCAGCCUCGUGGUUCCAGGAGUGAUGGCAAUGAGGAGCGCCUAAAGCCUUUGUAGACCUGGCCUUAUGUGUGUGGCACCCUCCAGAGAGCCCAAGGAAUAACUGUGUGUCACCUAAGACAGCCACUCUGUGGACCACAUCCGGGUGGAAGGAGAGCACCUCCAAAUUUUAAACUGCUUCUCAGCAUGCAUCAGAUAAACAAAUAUUGUUUGAAUUUCAACACUGUACCAGCGUUUGUUGCAGCCCUUUGGCGGCUUUGAGGAAAAGGGAUUUCAAAGGAAGUCUGGAGGCAGAGAAACUAGGGGGAGGCUGUUGCAAGGAAACAUAGGAGAGGCAACAAUGGGUGCAAGAGGGCUUAGAGAUGAGACAGGGUAGGGAGGUCAGAAAAGGCGGAGCCGAUCUUGACUGUGUGUGAACAGGGAGCAAGGAGCGAAGCUGUUAGCCAGGAGAGAAGGAAGGAGCCCAGCAGGCUGCUGAGAUGUCUUGGUUGGGGGAUCGGGCAGGUGAACUUUCAAAGUCUUGAUACUCAUGAGUAAUUCCCUUUGGAUUCGUAUCAAACAACAGCCAUUGUCCUCCCCAGAGGGCUUGCGGCUAAACAUUUACUAGCACUCGACGGACUGCAUCCCCCAGUCAGCAAUUUCCAGUACAGACUUCAGAAAACCGUAUCCUGACUUUGAAAGUGGAGAUACAAAGUGAAGUACAUUAGGAUCUUAGCAAGAAAGUUUAAUGCCAGGAAGAGACGUUUAAGUUAUACAAAAAAGAAUACAUCAGAUUUCAAAAGGCAGAGAUGGCAUCAUGGUCUAGCCCUGUCUCCACUUUCAUCUUGGGGUGCUUUCCACACUUGGCUUCCCUCGGAGCCUUUAAUAUGCCCAGUUAACGUGUCAAGCCUUUCGUUCUCCUGAACAGCUUUCCCAGCCCUUACCUGGAUGGGCCCUCGGUGGCGCUCUUGAUCUCUCUGAUAGAAAUCGGUCACUUCCUUUUAUUGUCCUUGUCAUAGUUUGCCAUUGUCCAUUGAUUCAUUUGUUGCUUGUUUUUAUUUGGCCUCAGCCUCUGUUGUGGCGUCCCCACAAAGCGGGGAUGAUGACUGUUACUGAUGGUGGCUUUGACAAGCACGACUCCACUCUAGGCCUGACACACCACCUGGAGCAGGUCGUCCCUAUUUGUUCAGUAAUUAUGUUGAAUAAAUGGUGACUGUGAAGAAGGGCAUCAGUUACAGAGGGGAAAGUUGCAGAUACUCUGACAAAUGGUCUGGUGACUGAACUUAGACGUUAUGAGAUGGAGAGUGGAAGAUCGGACUCAGAGCUGGCGGGGGUCUGAUCCAGGAAGCCCCUCCAAUGUUGUAUGAGAGACUUGGACACCCAUCCAUGUGUGACAAAUGUGCAGCCGUCCGUGGAUCUGAAUCAAGAGAGAAGCGGCCUUCCUAGAACUUGAACAGCUUCCCUAUAACCUGGAGAAUCAUACCGCCUGUGUUGGAAGGUGAAGCAGAUCCCCUAUGUGGCUUAAGGUUGCCCUUGGCUGUGAAACGCCAUGGCUAGAAUGUGGCUUUUUCUUCUUCAAAAAGGUAUUUUCUUCUCUUCCACCUCAGUCAGUGCUGUUCCUUGUUAUGGGGCUUCUUCUUAUCCACUUUCCUGUUCUCUCUCAGGAGUAACUGUUCCGAGCG